CAGGAUCGCGUUUCUGACGUUAUUGUACAUGUUCAAACUGUUGCUGUUCAAACUGACAAAAGGUGGAGCUCAAUAACUAAUGUACUGAAGGGAGAGCAAAGAUCAACGGUCAAAUGGAUUAGAUGGUUUAUCACCAGGUUUGGGGGGGUUCAAUUCACUCUAAUUCUGUCCAUUCAGCAAAUGUAUCGAGAAUCACUCCAUCAGGAUCUAAUGGAGAAUUUCCCAAUCCAUUUUAGCCAAGAGAGGCGUGCAGCAUGCAAACCCAGUGAUGCUACUGGUCCCUCAUCUACAGUUGUGACACAGGCACUCGAGCAAGAAUUGAAAAGGCAGGCUCAUUAUGCACCCACUGCAGGCCUUUCAUAUUACAUUGCAAAGGACAUGAUGCCAUUUCAAAUGGUUGAGGCCUGGCUUUCUGAGGCUGAUGAAGGUUGCCGUGCCUCAUAUAAACAAG
Oncorhynchus tshawytscha (Chinook salmon) is the source of this 451-nucleotide long non-coding RNA. The record is from Ensembl. Lineage: Eukaryota; Metazoa; Chordata; Actinopteri; Salmoniformes; Salmonidae.